This 209-nucleotide ribosomal RNA is filed under the name uncultured Enterobacteriaceae bacterium. Its description in RNAcentral is "partial 16S ribosomal RNA". It matches the Rfam family "Bacterial small subunit ribosomal RNA", at positions 1174 to 1382 of the family's 1533-position model. Lineage: Bacteria; Pseudomonadati; Pseudomonadota; Gammaproteobacteria; Enterobacterales; Enterobacteriaceae. The record is from RNAcentral.
UGGGGAUGACGUCAAGUCAUCAUGGCCCUUACGAGUAGGGCUACACACGUGCUACAAUGGCAUAUACAAAGAGAAGCGAACUCGCGAGAGCAAGCGGACCUCAUAAAGCAUGUCGUAGUCCGGAUUGGAGUCUGCAACUCGACUCCAUGAAGUCGGAAUCGCUAGUAAUCGUAGAUCAGAAUGCUACGGUGAAUACGUUCCCGGGCCUU